Molecule: transfer RNA, 80 nt
Filed under: Deferribacteraceae bacterium
Lineage: Bacteria; Pseudomonadati; Deferribacterota; Deferribacteres; Deferribacterales; Deferribacteraceae
Description: tRNA-Leu
Rfam family: tRNA
About the family: Transfer RNA (tRNA) molecules are approximately 80 nucleotides in length. Their secondary structure includes four short double-helical elements and three loops (D, anti-codon, and T loops).
Source: RNAcentral
GCGAGUGUGGCGGAAUGGUAGACGCGCUUGACUUAGGAUCAAGUGCCUUUGGCGUGGGGGUUCAAGUCCCUCCACUCGCA